UACGUAGGGGGCAAGCGUUGUCCGGAUUUAUUGGGCGUAAAGAGCGUGUAGGCGGCCAUGCAGGUCCGUUGUGAAAACUCGAGGCUCAACCUCGAGACGCCGAUGGAAACCAUGUGGCUAGAGUCCGGAAGAGGAGAGUGGAAUUCCUGGUGUAGCGGUGAAAUGCGCAGAUAUCAGGAGGAACACCGGUGGCGAAGGCGGUUCUCUGGGCCUUACCUGACGCUGAGGAGCGAAAGCAUGGGGAGCAAACAGG
RNAcentral lists this ribosomal RNA (253 nucleotides) under uncultured bacterium. RNAcentral describes it as "partial 16S ribosomal RNA". It matches the Rfam family "Bacterial small subunit ribosomal RNA", at positions 524 to 776 of the family's 1533-position model. The record is from RNAcentral.